This 497-nucleotide ribosomal RNA is filed under the name uncultured bacterium. Its description in RNAcentral is "partial 16S ribosomal RNA". It matches the Rfam family "Bacterial small subunit ribosomal RNA", at positions 28 to 507 of the family's 1533-position model. The record is from RNAcentral.
GAUGAACGCUGGCGGCGUGCUUAACACAUGCAAGUCGAGCGAACAGAGGAGAAGCUUGUCUCUUUGAUGUUAGCGGCGCGCGGGUGAGUAACAUGUAGAUAACCUCCCUAUCUGACUAGGAUAACUUCGGGACAGCGGAGCUAAUCCCAGACGAUACAUAGAACCGCGUGUAUUGAUUGUGAAAGAUUGCUUUGCUGGCUCGUCUAGAUGGACUUCAGCCGUAUUAGCUAGUUGGUAAGGACAAGGCUUACCACGGCAACGAUACGUAGCCGAGCUGAGAGGGGGGUAGGCCACAUGAGAACGGAAACACGGUCCAGACUCCUACGGGAGGCAGCAGUAGGGUACCUGCCGCAGUAGGCGAAAGCCUUACGCAGCAACGCCGCGUGAGUUGUGGAGGCGUUGCGAUCGGGAAGCUGUGUUAUUAGGGAUGAACAAAUGUGUAAGUAACAGAACACGACUUGACGGUACCUGCAGAGGAAGCCACGGCUAACUACGUG